Pyrus x bretschneideri (Chinese white pear) is the source of this 1657-nucleotide RNA transcript. It is a transcript of the gene named F-box protein At3g07870, with no coding region annotated. NCBI's taxonomy places the organism in Eukaryota, Viridiplantae, Streptophyta, Magnoliopsida, Rosales, Rosaceae. The record is from RefSeq and is a predicted model, not a curated record. The transcript has 3 exons.
CCACAAUGACGCCAACUUCUAAUAAAUGACUAUAAAGCUGUAAACCCUUCCGACUCUGUAGAAAAAGCUUCACGAACUUUCAUUCAAGCAGAAAGAAGAGAAACGAAACAAGAGCUGCUCAGCUGCAUCAACAGCGAUUCGACAUGGAUGCGCACACAAAGAAAACCGAACCAACCAACACUGACAUAGAAGAGGAUGAUAAGAAACCCUGCAUUCUGCAAUUGCCAGACCACAUAACAGUGCAGAUAUUCUGCAAAGUCCCAAUUAAAACCCUCAUCCAAUGCCAGUGUGUGUGCAAGUCUUGGCGGCAUUCGCUCUCAGACCCUCAGUUUACCAAACACCUAUUUUCACAAACACCCCCUUCAUUUUUGUUCCAUGGCUUAAGAGGCGGCCCCAUAAACCCCAAGUCGGAGGGAUACUUAUUGUUCGACCUUGAUAUGGUCUCAAACCCAAAUGACUUUGUACUGAAGCUUGCUAGAGAUCCAAAUUUCCACGCUCUUCGUGUGGGCAUUUUGGGUUCUCGCAAUGGUUUGCUCUGCAUAUAUGAAUUGAACCAACGCCAUUUUUACAUUUCCAAUCCCAUUACUAGUGAGUCUUUAGCGCUUCCAGUGAUAUCCUUGUCUCCCCAUACUGUCGCCUAUUGUCAGCGCCGGAGAAUUGAUAAUCCGUAUUAUUGUGGGUUUGGGUUUAGUCCCAUCAGUAAUGUCUACAAAGUUGUUGUGUUUAUGUCUCCGAGUGAUAAAUCUAGUGAAGAUGAAGUAUUGGUUUUGACUAUUGGCUCCAGGAUUUGGAGAAGCAUUGGGAUGUGUCUGUGUACCCUUCCUCUCGGUUUCAACCAUAUGGGGUUUAUCUUAAUGGAUUCCUGCAUUGGGUUGGUCGGUAUGGGGAUAGUUCGACUUUCAUAUGGGCCUUUGACGUCGAAAGGGAGCAUUUCCAACAGUUACCACUUCCUCCCUGUUAUUUGGACUUAGACCAGCUGCCGAGUUGUUUGGAUUUGCUAGAAACUCAAUUUACCCUUGGAGUCUUGAAUGGUUGCCUCUCUGUAACUGUUCGCUCUUGCUCAACACGUAAUAUCAAUGUCUGGAUGAUGAAGGAUUAUGGCAUUAGCGAGUCGUGGACCAAAGAGCUUGAAAUUAGCAACGAAGCACUUGAUUGUCCAACUUUUGCUCGAGUGUUGAAGUUUACAGGGGAGGGUAAAGUCUUGUUGUUAAAUGGGUCUCACUUGCAGGCUUAUACUCCUGGAACAAGGGGCGUGGUGAUGGUUGAGGUUGAUGGGAUACCAUCAUUGAUCGAUGAGUGUGUUCAUAUUCCAAGCUUUGUUCGGCUUAGAGAUAUCAUGUCAGGCUAGAGCUCAAAGGUGAGAGUCUCGCUGCUGAGUUUAACUUAUGGGAGCUUUAUUUGGGCUGACAAUUGACCUGGAGGUUACGGGUCUGAGUAAGCUCUCACGGUUUAUUUGGCGCUGCAACCUACUGGGACAAUAAUUGGGUUCUCUUGUUUUGGCUUGCUCGGAGUUGCGGUCAAGAUCUUGACAUUGCAAACUUCGACUUGUCUGUAGAGUGAAGAAUUUUGUGGGUAAUAGUUUAAAACACUAUAAUUCAGGGACAGUCGUUACAUAAGGCUCCAUUGUUUUACACGAAAAUUACUACUAAUUAGGUAA